UGGUAAGAGCACUUGGCACGUACUAAAUGUAUGCAAGUGUCAGCUAUCCUCCUCAGCUUCAUCUUUCCCAGCAGCAGCGGCAUCUGUGAGAGGCCUUGUGGUCUAAGGGGAAGACCAUGGCCUGGAAAGACAAUGGGCUGGGAGUCUGACGGUGCUGAGUAGAGUGAAUGGUUCUUAUUGUUGUAACGACACGCAGCUGCUUUAUUGGUCAUUCAAGAGGAAACUUGUCCCCGUGGCGAGGGAUUUGGACUGAAGCCUGCAGCUGCUUAGCACAGAUGCUGACGAGGCCUCACCUAGGCUUUCCUGCCCACCUGCAGCCGUCAGCUUCCCUCUAACUCUGCAGAUUGACUGCACGCCUUUUUCUCCACUGCCCCUCCAAACCCACUAAGAUAGCCAUAAGGGAAUAAAGUAAGAGGAAGCAACUGGGAGAGCAAAUGCAAAAAAUGUCAACAAAAUUUUGAAAGAUGUAAGGUGUUUGAACAAAGGGCAUCUAAUUUAGUUUUAGCUUUAGCCAUUCUGCUAAGCGUCUACACCUGAAGAAGCCAACAAAACGUAAAUUGAAUCCACCAUGGGUCCUCAAAAGGCAGAGGAUCUGGAAGCACCAGACAUCUCUGAAUCCAGGGGUCAGGAUGGGGCUGAGAAGAAGAGGAUUCACUCGUAAGUCUGUAUAAGAAGGAUCUAGACCCCCAGAUUUUCUCCCUUGCCCCACACAGCCAGGCGCCAUAGCUCCUCUACCAUCCAGCAGAUGACACAUUUGCUAUCUAAAGAGGGUGAACCAGAGAGAUUCUGACCCAGGGGACAUGAAGCAUGGCAGAAGGCAGAAGACAAAGACAUCCUGAAAAGAGUAAGGCUCCCAGAAGUCACAUAUGACAGGCCCCCGCUCCCCACCCGACCCGCUGAGACAAUGCCCCACCACACUGCCUUCUCUGCAGGGCGACCGCAAUGCAGACUCGAGGCAACCGUCAUUCCAAGGACUGCCAUGUGAGUGGUGCUUCCUGAAGCUGUGCACUGAGGUGGCCCUGGAGGAACCGGCUAGCUCCUGCCCACCCUCUUCCCAUCUCAGCCCUUGCAGCUCUGUUUCUAGCAGGAGGAAGAGGAGUGAAAUCAUUCAUGCCAGCUGUGAUUCCGACUUACAUCUCACUGAGCAGGACUGUGUCAUGUGACUGCAUCUGCCAACAAGCGGGGAAACUCUAGGUAGGCACGUUGCCAUCCUAUGUAUAGAUAUUCUACUAGGAAUAAACAAGGAAAGUUGUAUUAGGUAGGCCAUUAGCAAUCUCAACUACAGAAAUAAACAUUUUCUCUAGAACUAAAAGACGUGACUUCCCAUAUUUAAAGGGCCCACUGAGCACCCGGAAUAAAAGAAACCCACAACAAGCCAUAACAUGGUAAAAUUUAAGACACCAGAGAUUAAAAAAUUCCCAAAAGCUUUCAGAGAGAACAAGCAGGUAGCACAUAGCGACCAGGAUAAGAAGCAUUGGUCUCCAUAGUAACACUGGGAGUGGGCCCUUUAAGUGGCUUGGUCAAAAUGUUUGAUGACCUUUCCCACCCGAUGGAGCUGUGGUUCUACGACUGACCAGGCGAAAACCUGAAGGCACAAACCUGCUGAAGAAGUAUCAGAAAUAAAUAUGUUUAUUUUAUUUUAAGAGGUUAUUUUAAGUAGUUAUUCCCAAAGACAACAAUUGACACGUGCAGCUGUCAUUUACGUCUCACUCUGUGAAGCAUGACUUUUUGUUUAUAUCAAAUAACUGUUCUCCUAAGUUAAUUUUGCCCUUUUUACUUUCAAAUUUUCUUGCAGACGUCAGAAGUGAGGUGAUCACUGUUUGUGUUGGCCCUGUUGGCAGCAGCAGAACUUUGCAAAUGGUUAAUGAUGGUGGUUGGAUAUGAUGUCAUCAGACGUUUCCAAAAGAAAAGCAGUUCGGCCCUGUAAUGGCUCUUUUUUGUUGUUGUUUCACACAAUUCAUGGAAUCCAUGUAAAGUUUUUGGAGGUUCAUUUUACUAAAGGUGAAAUGUCUGAUGUUAUUGCUAAUUCUACUGUAAAUUCAGUUCAAAAGGUCACCAUUAAAAAUAAAAUGAUUUGUUUUUGCAGGAAAAAUGUAAAUACGAUUUUUGGAGGAGCACUUCACCAUGCAAAAAAUAAUACCCUUACCCUUAAUAUUGUUAAGAAGCCAAAUGGUCUUGGCAAUGACUUCUUGGAUAUGACACCAAAAGCACAGGCAACAGAAGCAAAAACAGACAAGUGGGACCACAGUAAAUUAAAAGGUUCUGCACAGCAAAGAAAACAACCCAUAGAGAGAAAAGGCAACCUACAGAAUGGGGUAAAAUAUUUGUAAACCAAAUAUCUGAUAAGGGAUUAAUAUCCAAAGUUAUAAGGAACUGUUACAACUCAAAAGUAAAAAAGCAAGUAACCCAAUUAAAAAAUGGGCAAAGGACUUGAAUAGACAUUUCUCCAAAGAAGACGUACAAAUGGCCAACAGGUCUAUAAAAAGAUGCUCAACAUUGCUAAUCAUCAGGGAAAUGCAAAUCAAAACCACAAUGAGAUAUCACCUCACACCUGUUGGAAUGGCCAUUAUAAAACAAACGAACAGAAACUAACCGGCGUUGCAAGAAUAUAGAGGAAGUGGAAGCCUUAUGCACCAUUAGUGGAAAUGUAAGAUGGUGCAGACACUAUGGAAACAGCAUGGAGGGUCUUCAAAAAGUU
Molecule: long non-coding RNA, 2698 nt
Organism: Equus caballus (horse)
Lineage: Eukaryota; Metazoa; Chordata; Mammalia; Perissodactyla; Equidae
Source: Ensembl